This is a long non-coding RNA of Aplysia californica (California sea hare), 699 nucleotides long. RefSeq lists it as uncharacterized. The record is from RefSeq and is a predicted model, not a curated record. The transcript has 3 exons. NCBI's taxonomy places the organism in Eukaryota, Metazoa, Mollusca, Gastropoda, Aplysiida, Aplysiidae.
GCAAAAAGACUGAGCUACUGGAUAAAAAAACCCUGCCCGCUCUGGGAUCGAACUCUAUCUUCAAGGCUUGAAGCCCUUCUGCGUCGCGUCUUUGCUUCAAUGACGUGACCAGGAAUUCCCCGCGGCCCACGAGGGGCUAAAAAUAGUAACAGGGGAAUCUCUGUUGGCCUACUUGCAAAAAUGGAAUUUUUGACAUUGUAGACCACCAGGUACCAUUUGGUAUUUCCCAUUUGAUACGUCUAGACCCCGAGCCAACGGUGAGGACCCAUUUCUCUUUUCUCAAACUGGAUUAUGGAUUUCACAAACACAGGCAGUCUCCUGGCUUCUGCUGAUUUAUUCAUUACCAUUUUUGCUUUGCUCGACGCAUUUUUGUUGGAUAACCAAAUUGAAGCUUGUUGGAUGAGAAGGCCCCAUCAGUGCAGCCAUAGACUUAUUCGACAUUCGUCACCUGAGGGACAUCCAAGAAACACAGCUCAUGACGUCACCCGGAAGUCUUCGCUCAGCCUAAUGGUGGGAUGAAACCUUUGGUGGAGGCGGAAGUGACCCUUCUGUUGGUUUGUUUUGUGUGGCCCUCUCCUGAAACAUCCCAAUAUCCCCAUGAGCACAAAGGCGAAGAUCAUCAACACCAUUUUCCUUCCAACGCUCACAUAUCAAUGCCAGACAUGGUCCCUAACAAAAGCCCUAGAGAGGAAACUGGUC